Molecule: ribosomal RNA, 1557 nt
Filed under: Candidatus Hodgkinia cicadicola
Lineage: Bacteria; Pseudomonadati; Pseudomonadota; Alphaproteobacteria; Hyphomicrobiales
Description: bacterial SSU rRNA
Rfam family: Bacterial small subunit ribosomal RNA
Source: RNAcentral
CGAGCUUGAUCCUGGCUCAGAACGAAUGCUGGCGGCAGGCCUAACACAUGCAAGUCGAGCGAACAACCUCAACGGGUUGUUAGCGGCGAACGGGUGAGUAACACGUGAGAAUCUGCCUUGUUCAACGGGAUAGCUUAAGGAAACUUGAGGUAAUACCGUAUGAUUCCUGCAACAGGUAAAGAAUUAAUUAUUUGGAACAAGAUGAGCUUGCGCUAGAUUAGCUAGUUGGUGGGGUAAAGGCCUACCAAGGCAAUGAUCUAUAGCUGGUCUGGGAGGACGGACAGCCACAUUGGGACUGAGACAAGGCCCAAACUUCUAUGGAGGGCAGCAGUGGGGAAUAUUGGACAAUGGGCGAAAGCCUGAUCCAGCCAUGUCGCAUGAGUGACGAAGGUCUUAUAAAAGGGGUAUAAAAUAUAUACUUUAGACUGUAAAACUCUAUUUAUUUAAUGAUAAUGAUGAUAGUAAUUAAAUAAAAGCUCCGACCAACUUCGUGCCAGCAGUCGCGGUAAUACGAGGGGAGCGAGUGUUGUUCAGUUUUAUUGGGCGUAAAGGGUAUGUAGGCGGUUUUGUAAGUCAACAAUUAAAUCUUGGAACUUAAUUCCAUUACAAUUGUUGAUACUGCAUAACUAUGAACUUAAUAGGGGUGAACACAAUUCCAAGUGUAGAGGUGAAAUUCGUUGAUAUUUGGAGGAGUACCAAAGGCGAAGGCAGUUCAUUGGGUUAAGUUGACGCUGAGGUACGAAAGCGUGGGGAGCAAACAGGAUUAGAUACCCUGGUAGUCCACGCCCUAAACGAUGAGUGCUAAUAGUUUGGCAUAAAUAUCUAUACUGAAAGUAUAUCUUCGGAUAUAUUGUAGGUUGAAGAUUUUAUGUUUGAUUGUAUAGCUAACGCGUUAAGCACUCCGCCUGGGGACUACGACCGCAAGGUUAAAACUCAAAGGAAUUGACGGAGACCCGCACAAGCGGUGGAGCAUGUGGUUUAAUUCGAAUCUACACGAAGAACCUUACCAGCUCUUGACAUUUUUGGCUAAACAUGUUGGAAACAACAUGCCACUUACAACAGUAAGGAUGCCUUAAACAGGUGCUGCAUGGCUGUUGUCAGCUCGUGCCGUGAGGUGUAUGGUUAAGUCCCAUAACGAGCGAAACCCUUAUCCAUAGUUGCCGAAAACAAAUAAUGAGUGGCUCUCUAUGGAGACUGCUAACAAAAGUUAGAGGAAGGUGAGGAUCACAACAAGUCAUCAUGGCCCUUAUGGGCUGGGCUACACACGUGCUACAAUGGCAACUACAAAGAGUCGCAAUAUCGUGAGGUGGAGCUAAUCUCAAAAAAGUUGUCUUAGUUCGGAUUGUACUCUGCAACUCGAGUACAUGAAGUAGGAAUCGCUAGUAAUCGUGGAUCAGCAUGCCACGGUGAAUACGUUCUCGGGUCUUGUACACACCGCCCGUCACACCAUGGGAGUUUAUUCCAUUUCAAGUUCCCAAUAAGGAACGUAGAUGCGAUUGAUGACCGAGGUGAAGUCGUAACAAGGUAGCCGUAGGGGAACCUGUGGCUGAACACAAC